UGGGGAAUCUUGCGCAAUGGGCGAAAGCCUGACGCAGCAACGCCGCGUGAGCGAAGACGGCCUUCGGGUUGUAAAGCUCUGUCAGGAGGGACGAAGCCACUCAGGUGAAUAGCCGAGAGGGUGACGGUACCUCCAGAGGAAGCCCCGGCUAACUACGUGCCAGCAGCCGCGGUAAUACGUAGGGGGCAAGCGUUGUCCGGAAUCAUUGGGCGUAAAGCGCGUGUAGGCGGCCAUCCAAGUCCGAUGUGAAAGCUCGGGGCUCAACCCCGAGUCUGCAUUGGAAACUGGCUGGCUUGAGUCCGGAAGAGGAGACUGGAAUUCCUGGUGUAGCGGUGAAAUGCGCAGAUAUCAGGAAGAACACCGGUGGCGAAGGCGGGUCUCUGGGACGGUACUGACGCUGAGACGCGAAAGCGUGGGGAGCAAACAGG
Molecule: ribosomal RNA, 428 nt
Filed under: uncultured Gaiellales bacterium
Lineage: Bacteria; Bacillati; Actinomycetota; Thermoleophilia; Gaiellales
Description: bacterial SSU rRNA
Rfam family: Bacterial small subunit ribosomal RNA
Source: RNAcentral